Molecule: non-coding RNA, 465 nt
Organism: Cinara cedri
Lineage: Eukaryota; Metazoa; Arthropoda; Insecta; Hemiptera; Aphididae
Source: the annotation of a GenBank genome assembly
UUGUUUCGGAACGACGGUCGAAUAGAUAGUUUUUUUUCAGUAGACACAGAUUCGUUACGGGCGAGACAAUGCGCACGACCUUUCCGUCUGAUGGAAAUACAUUUUUAUUUUCAUUGUCAGGAGCGAUCCGAUUGGAAAUGUCACUUUUCAAAGGUGAUUUUAUUCGGGCAUUACGUCGAACACGUUCACCGUGCGGUCAACUCGGCCGUGGAAACGGGUACCGAGGUACCAACAGGUAAACGCACACGAAUCGCUGUACUGUUGUUACGUUGAAUUUAAUUACCACCGUACACUUGCACAGACGCUUAUCGCUCGCCGGGCUCUCCGAGCUUCUAGAAAAUUCCAUACGAACGAUAAACGGCCGUGGGGAAAUUGCGAAACGUCGCAUUAUGAAAUUGAACUUGCAGAAUAUUUUCAGUACGUACAACGGCUAUGCGUUCGAUCGGUUCUGUGAUUUGUCUUUAU